UUGGAGGGCAAGUCUGGUGCCAGCAGCCGCGGUAAUUCCAGCUCCAAUAGCGUAUAUUAAAGUUGCUGCAGUUAAAAAGCUCGUAGUUGAAUUUCGGGGUCAAUUUACUGGUCGUGCCUAUGGUACGUACUGGUAUUGUUGAUUCCUCUCUUCUGAGGAGCCGCGAUGUCAUUAACUUGGUGUCGCGGGGAAUCAGGACUGUUACUUUGAAAAAAUUAGAGUGUUUAAAGCAGGCUAACGCUUGAAUACAUUAGCAUGGAAUAAUGGAAUAGGACGUUUGAUUCUAUUUUGUUGGUUUCUAGGAUCGACGUAAUGAUUAAUAGGGAUAGUUGGGGGCAUUAGUAUUCAAUUGUCAGAGGUGAAAUUCUUGGAUUUAUUGAAGACUAACUACUGCGAAAGCAUUUGCCAAGGAUGUUUUCAUUAAUCAAGAACGAAAGUUAGGGGAUCGAAGACGAUCAGAUACCGUCGUAGUCUCAACCAUAAACUAUGCCGACUAGGGAUCGGAUGAUAAUUUUUUAAUGACUCAUUCGGCGCCUUACGGGAAAC
Molecule: ribosomal RNA, 546 nt
Filed under: uncultured Glomeromycotina
Lineage: Eukaryota; Fungi; Glomeromycota
Description: SSU rRNA
Rfam family: Eukaryotic small subunit ribosomal RNA
Source: RNAcentral